This 467-nucleotide ribosomal RNA is filed under the name uncultured bacterium. Its description in RNAcentral is "partial 16S ribosomal RNA". It matches the Rfam family "Bacterial small subunit ribosomal RNA", at positions 29 to 507 of the family's 1533-position model. The record is from RNAcentral.
ACGAACGCUGGCGGCGUGCUUAACACAUGCACGUCGAACGGAAAGGCCCUGCUUUUGUGGGGUGCUCGAGUGGCGAACGGGUGAGUAACACGUGAGUAACCUGCCCUUGACUUUGGGAUAACUUCAGGAAACUGGGGCUAAUACCGGAUAGGAGCUCCUGCUGCAUGGUGGGGGUUGGAAAGUUUCGGCGGUUGGGGAUGGACUCGCGGCUUAUCAGCUUGUUGGUGGGGUAGUGGCUUACCAAGGCUUUGACGGGUAGCCGGCCUGAGAGGGUGACCGGCCACAUUGGGACUGAGAUACGGCCCAGACUCCUACGGGAGGCAGCAGUGGGGAAUAUUGCACAAUGGGCGGAAGCCUGAUGCAGCAACGCCGCGUGCGGGAUGACGGCCUUCGGGUUGUAAACCGCUUUCGCUUGUGACGAAGCGUGAGUGACGGUAAUGGGUAAAGAAGCACCGGCUAACUACGUG